CUUUCCCAGUAGGUAGGAGUUGGAUGCCACUGUGUCACCCAGUCACCCCACCUUGACAUACAAACUGAGGUGCCAGACAGUGUGUUAAGAAGACAAAAUAAGAUGCGUUCCUGCCCCAAGGGACCCCUAGAGCAGUGGAGGAGACAGACAAGAGACUCUGAGGAUGAUGUGUUCCAGUGAAAUUUGAAGACUAUUCUGAGACUUCCAGUGGGCCACUGGCUAUGUUACUUCUCUUCCACAAUUCCAGUUCCACAUGCCACCAGCAUCCCUCACUGAAGUCAGAAAUCAGCAUCAUCCCAGCAGCCCGCUCUGCCCAGUCCAGCAGGUCACCAAGCUCGUCAACACAAAUCCCCGCAAAGCUCUUAGGUUCACCACCUCCUCUCCAUCCCCACUGCCACCACCAUCUGGGGAACCUUCGUUGCCCACAUGAAGACAGCAAUGGUGUCCUACACGGGUCUCCCUGCCCCUGGUCCUGCCCCUCCAUCUUAUUCUCCACAGCGCAGCUAAAAUGCCGUUUUAAAGAUUCAGAUCUGAUCCGCCGUUCUCUUGCUUCUAAA
This is a long non-coding RNA of Artibeus jamaicensis (Jamaican fruit-eating bat), 557 nucleotides long. RefSeq lists it as uncharacterized. The record is from RefSeq and is a predicted model, not a curated record. Lineage: Eukaryota; Metazoa; Chordata; Mammalia; Chiroptera; Phyllostomidae. The transcript is spliced from 3 exons.